GGAGAGUUGCCAGAGUGGUUAAUGGAGCAGUUUGCUAAACUGUCAUCGGGUAACCGAUGCAUGAGUUCGAAUCUCAUACUCUCCGCUA
Molecule: transfer RNA, 88 nt
Filed under: Flammeovirga kamogawensis
Lineage: Bacteria; Pseudomonadati; Bacteroidota; Cytophagia; Cytophagales; Flammeovirgaceae
Also listed under: 1 other name
Description: tRNA-Ser
Rfam family: tRNA
About the family: Transfer RNA (tRNA) molecules are approximately 80 nucleotides in length.
Source: RNAcentral